GCCUACGGGGGGCAGCAGUGGGGAAUAUUGCACAAUGGGGGGAACCCUGAUGCAGCGACACCGCGUGAGUGAAGAAGUAUUUCGGUAUGUAAAGCUCUGUCCGCAGGGAAGAAGAAAGACGGUACCUGACCAAGAAGCCCCGGCUAACUACGUGCCAGCAGCCGCGGUAAUACGUAGGGGGCAAGCGUUAUCCGGAUUUACUGGGUGUAAAGGGAGCGUAGACGGCAGGGCAAGUCUGGAGUGAAAGGCAGGGGCCCAACCCC
Molecule: ribosomal RNA, 263 nt
Filed under: uncultured bacterium
Lineage: Bacteria
Description: partial 16S ribosomal RNA
Rfam family: Bacterial small subunit ribosomal RNA
Source: RNAcentral